GGUUUANNNNNNNGCNACGNANGCANCUCCGGCCGCCAUGGCCGCGGGUAUUGAGUUUGAUUAUGGCUCAGGAUAAACGCUGGCGGCGUGCCUAACACAUGCAAGUCGAACGCUCUGCGCAAGCAGGGAGUGGCGGACGGGUGAGGAACACGUGGGCAUCUCCCUUUUGGUGAGGAAUACCGGCGAGAAAUCGCCGACAAUACCGCAUACGCUUCGCUUUGCGAAGCAAAGCUCGUAAGGGCGCCAGAAGAUGAGCCUGCGGCUGAUUAGCUAGUUGGUGGGGUAAGAGCCUACCAAGGCGACGAUCAGUAGCUGGUCUGAGAGGACGAUCAGCCACACUGGGAUUGAGAACGGCCCAGACUCCUACGGGGGGCAGCAGUGAGGAAUUUUCGUCAAUGGGGGAAACCCUGAACGAGUAACGCCGCGUGCAGGAAGACGGCCUUCGGGUUGUAAACUGCUUUUCUCUGGGACGAGUAGGGACGGUACCAGAGGAAUCAGCCUCGGCUAACUACGUGCCAGCAGCCGCGGUAAUACGUAGGAGGCAAGCGUUGUCCGGAGUUAUUGGGCGUAAAGCGCACGCAGGCGGUCCUGUCAGUCUAGGGUGACAGUUCCCGGCUUCACCGGGAAAGUGCUCUGGAAACUGCAGGACUUGAGGGCUUCAGAGGGAUGUGGAAUUCCAGGUGGAGUGGUGAAAUGCGUAGAGAUCUGGAAGAACACCAAAGGCGAAGGCAGCAUCCUGGGAAGUUCCUGACGCUCGGGUGCGAAAGCCAGGGGAGCGAACGGGAUUAGAUACCCCGGUAGUCCUGGCCGUAAACGAUGACCACUAGACGUUGGGGGUAUCGACCCCCUCAGUGUCGUAGUUAACACGCUAAGUGGUCCGCCUGGGGAGUACGGUCGCAAGAUUAAAACUCAAAGGAAUUGACGGGGACCCGCACAAGCAGCGGAACGUGUGGUUUAAUUCGAUGCACCGCGAAGAACCUUACCAGGCUUUGACAUGUAGUCGCACCAUCCGUAAUGGGAUGUGCCCGCAAGGGACGGUUACACAGGUGCUGCAUGGCUGUCGUCAGCUCGUGUCGUGAGAUGUUGGGUUAAGUCCCGCAACGAGCGCAACCCCUGUCGUCGGUUAUGGGUGUCCGAGGAGACUGCCACGAUCAACGUGGAGGAAGGCGGGGAUGACGUCAAGUCAGCACGGCCCUUACAGCCUGGGCGACACACACGCUACAAUGGUCGGGACAAUGGGUCGCCAACCCGCGAGGGGGAGCCAGUCCCAACAAACCCGAUCUCAGUUCAGAUUGCAGGCUGCAACCCGCCUGCAUGAAGUGGGAGUUGCUAGUAACCGUGAGUCAGCACAUCACGGUGAAUACGUUCCCGGGUCUUGUACACACCGCCCGUCACACCACGAAAGUCGGCAACCCCUGAAGCCGCCGGGCUAACCUUUUGACUGAGGAGGCAGGCGUCGAGGGUGGGGUCGGUGAUUGGGGUGAAGUCGUAACAAGGUAGC
RNAcentral lists this ribosomal RNA (1501 nucleotides) under uncultured Ktedonobacterales bacterium. RNAcentral's name for it is "bacterial SSU rRNA". It matches the Rfam family "Bacterial small subunit ribosomal RNA". Lineage: Bacteria; Bacillati; Chloroflexota; Ktedonobacteria; Ktedonobacterales. The record is from RNAcentral.